This 194-nucleotide unclassified non-coding RNA is filed under the name uncultured Strelitziana. RNAcentral describes it as "sequence contains ITS1". Lineage: Eukaryota; Fungi; Ascomycota; Eurotiomycetes; Chaetothyriales. The record is from RNAcentral.
CCGAGUUAGGGUUGCCUUUUUAGGUGCCCGACCUCCCAACCCUUUGUCUAUGAUACCUAUUGUUGCUUCGGCGCGCCCGAGGGGUCGUACCCUCGCCUGGACUCGUGCCGGGAGCGUGGCCGCCGAUGGCCCAAUUUAAACUAUUGAACCCAAAACCUGUCGUCUGAAAACGUUAUGAUUUAUAAUCAAAAACA